GAUGAAGAACGCAGCGAAAUGCGAUAAGUAAUGUGAAUUGCAGAAUCCAGUGAAUCAUCGAAUCUUUGAACGCACAUUGCGCCCGCCAGCAUUCUGGCGGGCAUGGCUGUUCGAGCGUCAUUUCAACCCUCGACCUCCCUUUGGGGAAGUCGGCGUUGGGGACCGGCAGCACACCGCCGGCCCUGAAAUGGAGUGGCGGCCCGUCCGCGGCGACCUCUGCGUAGUAAACCAACUCGCACCGGAACCCCGACGUGGCCACGCCGUAAAACACCCAACUUCUGAACGUUGACCUCGAAUCAGGUAGGACUACCCGCUGAACUUAAGCAUAUCAAUAAGCGGAGGA
Molecule: unclassified non-coding RNA, 343 nt
Filed under: soil metagenome
Description: partial contains 5.8S ribosomal RNA, internal transcribed spacer 2, and large subunit ribosomal RNA
Rfam family: 5.8S ribosomal RNA (bases 1-120)
Source: RNAcentral